UGAUUAUUAUAUUUUAAAUGUUGUGGUAAAAGUAAAUGUAGUAGAGUAUUGUGUAUUAACAGCAGUGAAAUACGUCUCAUGUUCAUACUCAGGCUUAUACUAAAACAAAAGAGUUCAGUUUUACUGCGCUAAAGUAUUUCCUAUGAGUUAAAUAAUGUUUUUCAUCUCUGUUUCAGAAUAUACUAUGGUUAAUAAGAAGAUGGACAGAACAGCAUGAUAAAGACCCUCUGGAGAAUUCCCUCUGCUGGGCCAAGUUCCAAAAAUGUAGAGACAGACCCUCUAACCUGCUGUGGUGGAGUUUAAAGACUGACCCUCUAUGCUGUGAGAAAGGGGAAGCCCAGAGCUGGACACUGACAGACUGGAUCUUCACCAGUAGGACUGAAGAGGAGCCAGACUCACUGCACCUCUGCCUCAAAACCUCUGCCUCAGACUGAAGCUAAAGACAGAGGCUCUGAAGCUCCCACACUGCACACUAUAAGAACAACCACCCGUCUAAUUGUUCUGUGGUGGUAAACACAAGUUAAGUUUUAGUUUUAAACAGUAUGGUAUGGCUACACUCUGUCUCAUCUGUCCAGGCUUUUACUCAUAUAGCUUAUAUUUGUUUUUUGCCAUUUAAAAAAAAACAAAAACUUUGCUUAACUUGAAUUAUUUUUAGUAAAAACUGUAAAUUGUCAUUUUCAUAUUAAGAAUGAAGCAUUGGUUAACUCAAAGGGUAUAUAAGUCCUAUAACAUUAAUAAUAAUUAUUCAUGUCCUAAGAUUUCUAAUUAAUGAUUUAAAUAAAUAUUGUUUACAAUGUAAAAAAAAAAAAAGUUUCUUUUUUUCUUAACUAAUGAGAUUUAGUGAUAGGAUAUCACUGAUCCAACUUUGAAAUUGUUUAAGUUUAUGUUUUUAAAUUUAAGCCUUUAUAUCCUAGUUUUAAUACUUGCUGUAAAAGUUUUAUGUACAAUUACAAUGCAAAUGCUGCUGGUGUGUAUUUAGGUCAGUAGGAAGUGGAUCAGUAUUAAAUCUGAAGCAUAUUUAGGCUCCUAACGACACAAUAAACAGAUCCGCGGCAGAUAACCCGGUUCUGAAAGCGGAUCCAAAACGGGUCCUGGGCGGAUCCGCGAGAUA
Boleophthalmus pectinirostris (great blue-spotted mudskipper) is the source of this 1111-nucleotide long non-coding RNA. RefSeq lists it as uncharacterized. The record is from RefSeq and is a predicted model, not a curated record. Lineage: Eukaryota; Metazoa; Chordata; Actinopteri; Gobiiformes; Gobiidae. The transcript has 4 exons.